Pelobates cultripes (western spadefoot toad) is the source of this 219-nucleotide non-coding RNA. The record is from the annotation of a GenBank genome assembly. NCBI's taxonomy places the organism in Eukaryota, Metazoa, Chordata, Amphibia, Anura, Pelobatidae.
CAUCCCAAUAGAAUCUUAGAUGGGGAUAGUUGAUCAGGCAUUGGUAAAAUUUUAUAAAUGACAUUCAAUACCUGUAGCCAAUAGCUCUUAAUAAGUUUGCACUCCCACCAUAUAUGUUCCAUAUUCGCCCCCCUCUCACCACAUCUCCAACAGCCAUCUGAGGCUGGUAAACCAUAUUUUCUAAGUCGAUCUGGAGUAUUGUACCAUCUAGUAACUCUU